GACGAACGCUGGCGGCGUGCUUAACACAUGCAAGUCGAACGGAAAGGCCCUGCUUUUGUGGGGUGCUCGAGUGGCGAACGGGUGAGUAACACGUGAGUAACCUGCCCUUGACUUUGGGAUAACUUCAGGAAACUGGGGCUAAUACCGGAUAGGAGCUCCUGCUGCAUGGUGGGGGUUGGAAAGUUUCGGCGGUUGGGGAUGGACUCGCGGCUUAUCAGCUUGUUGGUGGGGUAGUGGCUUACCAAGGCUUUGACGGGUAGCCGGCCUGAGAGGGUGACCGGCCACAUUGGGACUGAGAUACGGCCCAGACUCCUACGGGAGGCAACAGUGGGGAAUAAUGCACAAUGGGCGGAAGCCUGAUGCAGCAACGCCGCGUGCGGGAUGACGGCCUUCGGGUUGUAAACCGCUUUCGCCUGUGACGAAGCGUGAGUGACGGUAAUGGGUAAAGAAGCACCGGCUAACUACGU
This 467-nucleotide ribosomal RNA is filed under the name uncultured bacterium. Its description in RNAcentral is "partial 16S ribosomal RNA". It matches the Rfam family "Bacterial small subunit ribosomal RNA", at positions 28 to 506 of the family's 1533-position model. The record is from RNAcentral.